CGGUAAAGAACAUAUUAAGGACAGCCAUAAACUUAAAGGCUCAAUGAGAAUCAGCAAAAGGAUAUUUCAUUCUUCCUGAAGAUAUUUUAUAUGGUAACUUUGCAUGGAGACUGAUGCAGAUGUUCUUUCUCACUGUUAUGAUGAACAAAAUCUUGGCUCUUCUGAGAUGUAGGAUGCCUGAACAAUUCUGAGGCCUCAGAAGGAUGACUAGAGAACAUCUUUAUAAUAGAGAGUUGAGUCAUGAAAAUGAUCUACUACAGAAAUCUCUUGAAGUAAUGCCUACUAGCAGGAUAUACCUGAAAGACUACUCAGACCAUAAUCUCAUCACUAUAUAUUAUCCAAAAGCUGUACUAUGAAGAUGAUACCUACAGUGAUGAGUUGGAAUCAUAAUAGAUGGUGCCAUUUCUUCUACCAGGAGCUUCACCAGACCAAUCUUCAUUAUACAUGCUGAUAUCUCUUUCCUGUGUAGUAGCAGACACCACCAGCAGAUAAGAAAUGCUUACGUGAGAAAUGCUCAUUUUGGGAUAUCAUCGAUGAAACUAUAAUUUGGGCAGGGUGACUGUUUCCUUUGCUGCCACUUGACUCAAUCCCAGGAGCGUAAUAGAUGAAAUAAUACUGUACAAGAACCUCAAAAUGGUGGAAGUAAAUAGUGCUCCUAUGAAUAUAGAUAUUAAUGAUUUUAAA
This is a long non-coding RNA of Grammomys surdaster, 684 nucleotides long. RefSeq lists it as uncharacterized. Lineage: Eukaryota; Metazoa; Chordata; Mammalia; Rodentia; Muridae. The transcript has 4 exons. The record is from RefSeq and is a predicted model, not a curated record.